UGUGGGAGGGGGCUUGCUCCCGAUAGCUAUGGUUCAGUCUAAACAUUUAGUGACUGACACCCUGCUAUCGGGAGCAAGCCCCCUCCCACA
Molecule: unclassified non-coding RNA, 90 nt
Filed under: Pseudomonas synxantha
Lineage: Bacteria; Pseudomonadati; Pseudomonadota; Gammaproteobacteria; Pseudomonadales; Pseudomonadaceae
Source: RNAcentral